Molecule: non-coding RNA, 307 nt
Organism: Pelobates cultripes (western spadefoot toad)
Lineage: Eukaryota; Metazoa; Chordata; Amphibia; Anura; Pelobatidae
Source: the annotation of a GenBank genome assembly
GGGUCAAAGUUUACUCAAUGAUGAGUCCGUGGCGAACCGUUCGUGGCGAACUGUUCGCGAACCGUUUGGCAAACCGUUCGGGACAUCACUAACCCUGACAAAUGGCUACCACAUGCAAGGAAGGCAGGAGGUGCACAAAUGACCCACUCCCAACGUGGGGAGGUAGUGACGACAAAUAACAAUACAGGACUCUUUAGAGGCCCUGUAAUUGCAAUGAGUCCACUUGAAAUCCUUUAACUCUGAUCAAUUGGAGGGCAAGUCUGGUGCAGAGCGACUGACCCGUGUGUGCUGCAGCUGAAACUCCACU